UACGUAGGGGGCUAGCGUUGUCCGGAAUCAUUGGGCGUAAAGCGCGCGUAGGCGGCCCGGUAAGUCCGCUGUAAAAGUCAAAGGCUCAACCUUUGAAUGUCAGUGGAUACUGCCAGGCUAGAGUCCGGAAGAGGCGAGUGGAACUCCUGGUGUAGCGGUGGAAUGCGCAGAUAUCAGGAAGAACACCGACGGCGAAGGCAACUCGCUGGGACGGUACUGACGCUGAGGCGCGAAAGCGUGGGGAGCGAACAGG
RNAcentral lists this ribosomal RNA (253 nucleotides) under uncultured bacterium. RNAcentral describes it as "partial 16S ribosomal RNA". It matches the Rfam family "Bacterial small subunit ribosomal RNA", at positions 524 to 776 of the family's 1533-position model. The record is from RNAcentral.